RNAcentral lists this long non-coding RNA (434 nucleotides) under Chinchilla lanigera (long-tailed chinchilla). RNAcentral's name for it is "lncRNA (ENSCLAG00000025899.1)". Lineage: Eukaryota; Metazoa; Chordata; Mammalia; Rodentia; Chinchillidae. The record is from RNAcentral.
UUAUACAGGAACUCAGUGACACAUAAUCCACAGAAGAUCCCUGGAUGACCUCAGUUUUCUUGGGACUGUCCCAUACUUUUACAUGGAACAGAAACAUGAUGGUAUUAAAGGUGGCCAUUGGCACCUUUCCUUCCAAAACGUCCAGCUGAGAGGCCCAGGAGUCCGGACUGACAAUAACAAUAAAAUACACAGAAAAGGAUCCAGUUGGUGCCCUGUCCAGGCAGGAGGAGAAAUAAAGCCAGUGUCGUCUCUUUCCUUUGGGAUAUGUUACAUAGCCCCUAAAUUCUGUAUCUUUUCCGCUUACACAUUUUUUUGUCCCCUAGCUCAACCAUAAUUUAAUUUAAAAAUUUUUAUGUAAACACUCCAUCUCUAAAAGCUAGCCUCUCAUUUGUGAAAUAAUUCCAGCCAUUCCUUCAAAAAUGAUGAAUGAUGGA